RNAcentral lists this ribosomal RNA (513 nucleotides) under uncultured bacterium. RNAcentral's name for it is "bacterial SSU rRNA". It matches the Rfam family "Bacterial small subunit ribosomal RNA", at positions 33 to 518 of the family's 1533-position model. The record is from RNAcentral.
ACGCUGGCGGCGUGCCUAAUACAUGCAAGUCGAACGGUCUUUCUAUGGAAGCUUGCUUCCACUGAGAAGAUAGUGGCGAACGGGUGAGUAACACGUGGGUAACCUGCCCAUAAGAGGGGGAUAACAUCCGGAAACGGGUGCUAAUACCGCAUAGUUUUCUUGAUCGCAUGAUCGGGAAAGGAAAGACGGCCUUUGUGCUGUCGCUUAUGGAUGGACCCGCGGCGUAUUAGUUAGUUGGUGAGGUAACGGCUCACCAAGACGAUGAUACGUAGCCGACCUGAGAGGGUGAUCGGCCACAUUGGGACUGAGACACGGCCCAAACUCCUACGGGAGGCAGCAGUAGGGAAUCUUCCGCAAUGGACGAAAGUCUGACGGAGCAACGCCGCGUGAGUGAAGAAGGUUUUUCCGGAUCGUAAAACUCUGUUGUCAGAGAAGAACAAGUUGGAGAGUAACUGCUCCAGCCUUGACGGUAUCUGACCAGAAAGCCACGGCUAACUACGUGCCAGCCGCAGC